This 695-nucleotide long non-coding RNA is filed under the name Elaeis guineensis (African oil palm). Its description in RNAcentral is "long non-coding RNA (EGUI_LNC060412)". Lineage: Eukaryota; Viridiplantae; Streptophyta; Magnoliopsida; Arecales; Arecaceae. The record is from RNAcentral.
CGUUCGAUGAACCUCUGAUUUUGUUGCAGCCUCGUGUGGAUCCCUUAUAGAGGUCGGAUGUGUGUACGGCUCCAAAGGUAAUAAAAAAAAUUAAUCACAUAGUUCUCGACCCACGCGAAGGUAAGAGAUCUGAUCUCUUCUCUUAUCAAGAUGUGAUCUAGACUUUAGAUCUAAAAUUAUUUUAGAUCUAGGGUAUUGAUUUGAUCAAUACCAAAGCUUUUAUUUUCUGACUUAUAAAUAUAGUAUGACAUGUUAUAGAUCCUAGUUGUAGGGUUUAAUAAUCUGAUUAUAUCAUUUAUAGAUUAAAUUAUUUAAUUUACAUAUUCUGCUACGUUAUAUUUCAAAAAUAUUUUGAAAUUCAUGCAUGAAACCCUACACCUUCUCCAACAGUGGUAUCAGAGCAUCUCGCUUCUUUUAUAAUAUAUUCAUGAUUACAUUAAAAUAAAUCUAAAAAAUAAAAUAAUGAUCACAUAGACUGUAGGUUGUCCUACUGUAAGGUUUACCCCUUACAGUGCAAAGGUUGUCCUAGUACGUUGUGAUCUAAAAAAUUAAAAGAUUUAAAUAAAUCUUAUCAUGAAUAUUUUAGAUUAAGUUUAUUUUAUUUCAUAAAUUUUUAUAUAAUGUACAUUGAUUAAAAUCAGCUUUGAACAGGAUCUUAUGAAGGUUCUGUUUACUGAUCGAGCCGGUGCUCUCAU